This 253-nucleotide ribosomal RNA is filed under the name uncultured bacterium. RNAcentral's name for it is "partial 16S ribosomal RNA". It matches the Rfam family "Bacterial small subunit ribosomal RNA", at positions 524 to 776 of the family's 1533-position model. The record is from RNAcentral.
UACGGAGGGUGCAAGCGUUAUCCGGAAUCACUGGGUUUAAAGGGUGCGUAGGCGGUUUGAUAAGUCAGUUGUGAAAGGCAGUCGCUUAACGAUUGGAUUGCAAUUGAUACUGUUAGACUAGAAUUAGGUGGAGGUAUGCGGAAUGUGACGUGUAGCGGUGAAAUGCUUAGAUAUGUCAUAGAACACCGAUUGCGAAGGCAGCGUACUAUACCUUAAUUGACGCUGAGGCACGAAAGCGUGGGUAGCGAACAGG